GACAGAGGGUGCAAACGUUGUUCGGAAUUACUGGGCGUAAAGCGCGUGUAGGCGGCUGAGCAAGUCGGGCGUGAAAUCCCAUGGCUCAACCAUGGAAGUGCACCCGAAACUGCAUAGCUAGAGUCCUGGAGAGGAAGGUGGAAUGCUUGGUGUAGAGGUGAAAUUCGUAGAUAUCAAGCGGAACACCGGUGGCGAAGGCGGCCUUCUGGACAGUGACUGACGCUGAGACGCGAAAGCGUGGGGAGCAAACAGG
RNAcentral lists this ribosomal RNA (253 nucleotides) under uncultured bacterium. Its description in RNAcentral is "partial 16S ribosomal RNA". It matches the Rfam family "Bacterial small subunit ribosomal RNA", at positions 524 to 776 of the family's 1533-position model. The record is from RNAcentral.